CACAACUUUCAACAACGGAUCUCUUGGCUCUUGCAUCGAUGAAGAACGCAGCGAAAUGCGAUAAGUAAUGUGAAUUGCAGAAUCCAGUGAAUCAUCGAAUCUUUGAACGCACCUUGCGCCCUUUGGUAUUCCGAGGGGCAUGCCUGUUUGAGAG
This 154-nucleotide ribosomal RNA is filed under the name Agroathelia rolfsii. RNAcentral describes it as "Athelia rolfsii 5.8S ribosomal RNA". It matches the Rfam family "5.8S ribosomal RNA". From Rfam's summary of the family: 5.8S ribosomal RNA (5.8S rRNA) is a component of the large subunit of the eukaryotic ribosome. It is transcribed by RNA polymerase I as part of the 45S precursor that also contains 18S and 28S rRNA. Functionally, it is thought that 5.8S rRNA may be involved in ribosome translocation. The record is from RNAcentral. Lineage: Eukaryota; Fungi; Basidiomycota; Agaricomycetes; Amylocorticiales; Amylocorticiaceae.